CCUACGGGCGGCUGCAGUGGGGAAUAUUGGACAAUGGGGGCAACCCUGAUCCAGCCAUGCCGCGUGUGUGAAGAAGGCCCUCGGGUUGUAAAGCACUUUCAGUGAGGAAGAACGCCUGGUGGUUAAUACCCAUCAGGAAAGACAUCACUCACAGAAGAAGCACCGGCUAACUCCGUGUCAGCAGCCGCGGUAAUACGGAGGGUGCGAGCGUUAAUCGGAAUUACUGGGCGUAAAGCGCGCGUAGGUGGCUUGAUAAGCCGGUUGUGAAAGCCCCGGGCUCAACCUGGGAACGGCAUCCGGAACUGUCAAGCUAGAGUGCAGGAGAGGAAGGUAGAAUUCCCGGUGUAGCGGUGAAAUGCGUAGAGAUCGGGAGGAAUACCAGUGGCGAAGGCGGCCUUCUGGACUGACACUGACACUGAGGUGCGAAAGCGUGGGUAGCAAACAGGAUUAGAUACCCUUGUAGUC
Molecule: ribosomal RNA, 465 nt
Filed under: Vreelandella stevensii
Lineage: Bacteria; Pseudomonadati; Pseudomonadota; Gammaproteobacteria; Oceanospirillales; Halomonadaceae
Description: partial 16S ribosomal RNA
Rfam family: Bacterial small subunit ribosomal RNA
Source: RNAcentral